AGGAUCAUUAUUGAAAUAAACCUGAUGGGUUGUUGCUGGUUCUCUAGGGAGCAUGUGCACGCCUUGUCAUCUUUAUAUCUCCACCUGUGCACCUUUUGUAGACCUUCUCAGGUCUAUGUUGCUUUUUCAUUUACCCCAAUGUAUGUUAAUAGAAUGUUUGUGGCUAUAAAAUAUAUACAACUUUCAGCAACGGAUCUCUUGGCUCUCGCAUCGAUGAAGAAUGCAGCGAAAUGCGAUAAGUAAUGUGAAUUGCAGAAUUCAGUGAAUCAUCGAAUCUUUGAACGCACCUUGCGCUCCUUGGUAUUCCGAGGAGCAUGCCUGUUUGAGUGUCAUUAAUAUAUAUCAACCUUCUCAUUGAUGAGAGUGGUUUGGAUGUGGGGGUUUGCUGGCCUCUUAAAUGGGGUUCAGCUCUCCUGAAAUGCAUUAGCAGAACAACCUUGUUCAUUGGUGUGAUAAACUAAUCUACGCUAUUGAAUGGUGAGGGACAGUUCAGCUUUCUAACAGUCCUUGGACAACUUAUCAUUUAUGUGACCUCAAAUCAGGUAGGACUACCCGCUGAACUUAAGCAUAUCAAUAAGCGGAGGAAAAGAAACUAACAAGGAUUCCCCUAGUAACUGCGAGUGAAGCGGGAAAAGCUCAAAUUUAAAAUCUGGCGGUCUUUUGGCUGUCCGAGUUGUAAUCUAGAGAAGUGUUAUCCGCGCUGGACCGUGUACAAGUCUUCUGGAAUGGAGCAUCAUA
Molecule: ribosomal RNA, 738 nt
Filed under: uncultured Cortinarius
Lineage: Eukaryota; Fungi; Basidiomycota; Agaricomycetes; Agaricales; Cortinariaceae
Description: eukaryotic LSU rRNA
Rfam family: 5.8S ribosomal RNA (bases 179-332)
Source: RNAcentral